AAGGGAAGUUGAUGUCCCUGGGAUGACGUCACUUCAUUAUUGCGCGUUCUUGUGAGAUGAGACCUUGUGUUCCAAACGUUUUUCAAGACACAGGAAAGGUCCGGUUGAAAUAUUACUGACGUUUCACUUUAAAAUGGCCCUAAAGAUUGAUGCUAAACAACGCUUGACAUGUUUGAACGAACGUAAAUAGAUUUUUUUUUUUACUUUUCGUCGUGACUUUUCCCUCCCACGCCCUACAUUUUGAGUAGCCUACUGAGCGCACUAACAACAUGGAACAACAUGGAGUUAUUUGGACAUAAAUUAUGAACUUUAUCAACAAAAUUUUUUUUGUUGUGGACCUGGGAAAUCCUGGAAGUGCCUUCUGAUGAAGAUUAUUAAAGGAACCAUGUUCGCGUCUUCAGACUGUUUACGGAAACCACCCUGGCUCUCCUCCUGUCCUACUGCCCUGGAAUGGAUGUCGUCUUCAGACUGUUUACGGAAACCACCCUGGCUCUCCUCCUGUCCUACUGCCCUGGAAUGGAUGUCGUCUUCAGAAUAUACCCACUCUAGCCAGUAGACCCUACAGAUUCAGUAUAUCAGCUUGGAACAAAGGUCACCCCUGUUUUAAAAGAUGAGCGGUAAAAUGGAUGUAUAUUACAAAGGGCAGAGACUACUGUGGUCUCACAGGAUCAGUUGGGGUUCACUAGCUAGCUAAAGUGUAAUGGGGUUUACUGCCCAACCAAGAGAGAAAAUGCCAAAUGACAUUUAGGGGCCCUGUAAGCAUAUUAGCUCCCUGUUUUACGCUCAACUGAAUCUCUUUUUCCUUUCCCUUCUCUCUUUCCAAUUGUCUUACCUUCUCUUUUUACUCAAAUAUUUUUAUUCUCUAUUUCCUUCUCUUAUUUCUCAGGCCUUGCUGGUGGUUCUGUGCCUUACCCUACUCUCUGCUCAUCUUCCUCUAUGAUGAAAUACAUCCUGCGACAAAAUUCAGGAGGUUGGGUGGACAAGGAGUAUGAAGGAUCUUGUUUGGAGACUUCUUCCUGGUUAACCUGAUCCUGUGGGUGGAGGGCAGCCAUCCCCUUCGCCGCUCUGGUGGCCAUCUUGGCUUUGAGGUUUGCCAUCUCCAUGCCCUUUACCUUUGUGGGCGCCUAGCCUACUUCGGCUUCAAGAGACCUGCUGUGUUUCAGAGUACUGUGGUGCCCUUGAGGUAGAGUAAACACCGAUCGACUUCACCCUCCUGUCCAGAGCCCAGACAUGAAAGGCUUAGUUCUCCUGCAAGCCUGAAAAUACAGAGAGCUCAGGCUUUGAUCCUCCAUGGGGUUGACUCCAGAGCGACCCCCUGUUUUCCCACUGCCAGCCCAAUCAAAGCCCUCUGCUCCCCACCAGACCUUAGGAUGGAGCAAAACGAGUGUGGAUUCAAAGUUGGAGAGAAAAGACUCAAAGAGUAAUCAAUUACUGUACCUGGAGUGUAAAUAAGACAUUAUACCAGGUGUCAGGUGUACACAGGAAGACCAACUCUAUACGCAAUCGACACGGAAGCAAUUUUUUUAACAAAAAUUGAUUUCAUUUGGUGUCACGCCCUGGCCAUAGAGGGUUUUAUUCUCUAUUUUGGUUAGGACAGGGUGUGACUAGGGUGGGCAUUCAAUGUCCUUUUUUUCUAUGUUUUUGUAUUUCUUUGUUUUGGCCUGGUGUGGCUCUCAAUCAGGGACAGCUGUACAUCGUUGUCGCUGAUUGGGAGCCAUACUUAGGCAGCCUGUUUUCCUUUGGGUUUUUGUGGGUAGUUGUUUUCUGUCUUGUGUUUUUGACCUGACAGAACUGUUGGCUUUCGUUUUUGUUUCUUUGUUUAAGUGUUUUGUCAUUUAUAAUAAAUUAUGACCACUUAUCA
This 1861-nucleotide long non-coding RNA is filed under the name Salmo salar (Atlantic salmon). RNAcentral's name for it is "lncRNA (ENSSSAG00000098829.1)". The record is from RNAcentral. Lineage: Eukaryota; Metazoa; Chordata; Actinopteri; Salmoniformes; Salmonidae.